This 1874-nucleotide unclassified non-coding RNA is filed under the name Hevea brasiliensis (rubber tree). Lineage: Eukaryota; Viridiplantae; Streptophyta; Magnoliopsida; Malpighiales; Euphorbiaceae. The record is from RNAcentral.
GACUAUUUUGGGCCUACAGAGCGUUUCCAUCAACUUUGAUUUUACCUCAUUUUAGGACUAUGUACUUUUUUGUUUUAACCAAAAAACCAAACCAAAUCAAAUUAAUUUGGUUCAAUUAGCUUGAUUUUUUAGUCUAAUUGGUGUAGUUUUGUUUGAAGUUUUAGGUAAUUUUGAUUUUUAGUUUAGUUUGGCUUUUUCGAUAAAAAACCCAAAAGAGAAAAAGCUGAACACAUCGAUUUCCAACAUUACACCAUUUUGAAAAUAAUUACAUAUAUCAACAAAUUGACCCAUGCCCUAUUGUCUCACUUAGUCUAAAUUCAUUGUCUUUCCCUUUCAAUUCACAGCUCUAAACACACCAUUCAUGUCAUUCUUCUCUUCUUCUUUGCAUCAUUCUUCUAUUCUUCUUUGCUUCAUUCUUCUUCUUAUGGUUCUUAUUUACUCAUUUAGAGUCACAGAUGACAAAUCCUUACUCCAGUCUUCAUCAUCCACAGAAUAGAUCAUCUUCUUCUUCUUCCAUUGAUACCUUUGUCAGCAUCAAGAGGCUUAUGUUUGGCUAUGAGCUUGUUCUGUUUAGCUAUGAGUAUAGGUUUAUAGUAUUUUUUUCUAUUUGAUUUAAAUUGUAAAUUGAAUUAUAAUGUUGAUUGAUAAAAAAAAAUUAUGUUGUUCCUCUAUGCCUAGGAUACUAGAAUAUCGAACCGCUAGAGAUAAUAAAUUGUUGAAGAAAGAACAAGUUGUUUCUUUUGUCCCUUCCAAGUGAUCAGAAAAUAAAGAAAUGGUUAAUAUAUUCAAGAAAAUCACAUAUUUACAAAAUACUGUCUCUUAUGUUCGAAGCAAGAUUUUAUCUAAUUAGACCACGAAUUACAAACAUCUUUUCCUAUUUUUUGGAUUAUAGAUUUGAGAAUGUUGAUUCGGGUAUUGAGAAUUUGGGGUUGGGUGAUGGGAAUUUGAGAAACGACAUCAUUUAGUUAAAAACACCUCCAUAUGAGCAUUUUACAAAACUGAUUAUUCCAAAAUUGAACCAAUCUACUUCGAUUCAAUUUAGUUCUUCGCUCAAUUUGGUUUGGUUUAAGUUUGUAUUCUUUUAUGGUUUUGGUUUUUCGGUUUUUCUAAUGUCAGUUCGGUUCGGAACUGAACUGACCGUUUGCUCUCCCUACCCGAUUUGAUUUUGGUUCAACUCAAUUUGGGUUUUGGUUUUAGUUUUCGUUCAAUCCAAUUCUUAUUCCCAUUUGGUUUGAUUUUGAUUCAACCUGAUUUGAGUUUUGGUUUACAGUUUCUAUUCCUUCUCAACCUCAUUUCAUUUUUUCUUAUGGUUCAUCCCAGUUUCAAUUUUGGUUCAUGUCUAGUUUACUUUGGUUAUGAUUUUUAUUUUCAAUCUUUUAUUCUAGUUUAACCUAGUUUCAAUUUUGAUUUCAAUUUGGUUCAAUUUUAGUUCAAUUUCAAUUAAAGCCCAUUUCAAAUUUUGGUUUUGGUUCCUACAUGGUUCAACUUUGGUUCAACUCAGUUUCAAAUUUCGGUUUAGGUUUUGAUUCAACCCAAUUUUUGUUUUAGUUUCCACUUAGUUCGGUUCUAGUUUUUAUUCUAGUUUCAUUUUGUAUGCAGUUUUAAUUUCAUUUUACUAUUUUAAUUUUGAUUCUACCCAAUUUGAUUCCACUUCGAUUCACAACUGGAAGUCUAAAUUGGCUACUUCAAUCCAAUUCCACUUUAGGUUUAGGGGGAGUUGGCUGGCAAUUCAAGGGCAAUCAUGAUUUUGGUACGAGUUUGAUUUUGAAUGAAGGGCAGUUUGGGAUUAGGGUUAAAGCCAAUUCCAGUUCUGAAUUGGCCAAAUUAAUUUUUUUAUAAAAAAGAAAAUAAAAUUAAAAUAAUUAAAUAUUUAG